GCCUGGGUGGCUCAGUCGGUUAAGCGUCUGCCUUCGGCUCAGGGCGUGAUCCCGGCAUUGUGGGAUCGAGCCCCACAUCAGGCU
Molecule: non-coding RNA, 84 nt
Organism: Ailuropoda melanoleuca (giant panda)
Lineage: Eukaryota; Metazoa; Chordata; Mammalia; Carnivora; Ursidae
Source: Rfam